RNAcentral lists this ribosomal RNA (425 nucleotides) under uncultured bacterium. RNAcentral describes it as "partial 16S ribosomal RNA". It matches the Rfam family "Bacterial small subunit ribosomal RNA", at positions 354 to 796 of the family's 1533-position model. The record is from RNAcentral.
GUGGGGAAUCUUGCGCAAUGGGCGAAAGCCUGACGCAGCCAUGCCGCGUGGAUGAUGAAGGUCUUAGGAUUGUAAAAUCCUUUCACCGGUGAAGAUAAUGACUGUAGCCGGAGAAGAAGCCCCGGCUAACUUCGUGCCAGCAGCCGCGGUAAUACGAAGGGGGCUAGCGUUGCUCGGAUUUACUGGGCGGAAAGGGCGCGUAGGCGGACAUUUAAGUCAGGGGUGAAAUCCCGGGGCUCAACCUCGGAACUGCAGUUGAUACUGGGUGUCUUGAGUAUGAGAGAGGUGUGUGGAACUCCGAGUGUAGAGGUGAAAUUCGUAGAUAUUCGGAAGAACACCAGUGGCGAAGGCGACACACUGGCUCAUUACUGACGCUGAGGCGCGAAAGCGUGGGGAGCCAACAGGAUUAGAAACCCUUGUAGUCC